Molecule: ribosomal RNA, 440 nt
Filed under: uncultured bacterium
Lineage: Bacteria
Description: partial 16S ribosomal RNA
Rfam family: Bacterial small subunit ribosomal RNA
Source: RNAcentral
CCUACGGGUGGCUGCAGUGGGGAAUAUUGCACAAUGGGGGAAACCCUGAUGCAGCGACGCCGCGUGAGUGAAGAAGUAUUUCGGUAUGUAAAGCUCUAUCAGCAGGGAAGAAGAUGACGGUACCUGACUAAGAAGCCCCGGCUAACUACGUGCCAGCAGCCGCGGUAAUACGUAGGGGGCAAGCGUUAUCCGGAUUUACUGGGUGUAAAGGGAGGGUAGACGGUGGGCCAAGUCUGAAGUGAAAGCCGGGGGCCCAACCCCGGGACUGCUUUGGAAACUGGAUGGCUGGAGUGCAGGAGAGGUAAGCGGAAUUCCUAGUGUAGCGGUGAAAUGCGUAGAUAGUAGGAGGAACACCAGUGGCGAAGGCGGCUUACUGGACUGUAACUGACGUGGAGGCUCGAAAGCGUGGGGAGCAAACAGGAUUAGAUACCCGUGUAGUC